This is a long non-coding RNA of Belonocnema kinseyi, 918 nucleotides long. RefSeq lists it as uncharacterized. The record is from RefSeq and is a predicted model, not a curated record. The transcript is spliced from 4 exons. Lineage: Eukaryota; Metazoa; Arthropoda; Insecta; Hymenoptera; Cynipidae.
UUUCCCCUUUGAAAAUUGUAGUCUUGACCCACGGUCGAUAACGAAAGGCGCCGCGAUACCGUGUGUAGAGUGAAGGCAACAGCUAGCCUGUUUGCUGAUUGCAAAUACAGUUACAAAAACACAGACAGGGCAUGUCAGUUCUCUCUGCUUUUUGCUCCAUUUCUCAACGUGUUUCGCAUAAUUUGGGGACACCAUCAUCAAGACCUGGCCCUUUGGAAGAUCGUUUGGUCUCGAGCAUUCGUCUAUUAUGCCAGAAUUGUUUAAGAAGAUUUUCUUCUUUUAUGAUAUCGACAAGGGGUUUAAUGCACUCUGGUUUGAGAAAGCACUCUAUUAUUGCUUGAAACAAUGAACGAAAAGCAGAAUGCAAAAAAGGUGUUACAGGCCAGUCAGCCUGAAAUUCGCGAAGGAACAGUUUCAACAUCGGAGGCAACAGUCUUAAAACAAGCUAAAGUUAUAAACUUUCUAAAAGAAGGCAUCAAUCGCAAUGCUCGUUCGAAGUAAAAUGUCGUUUAAAAGCUUCAAUUUUAACGGGGUUCCAGAGUCUUAAGUGGAUGUUCAUCGGUUGCCAUUUCAAGCUCUUCCAAGACUGCAUCGUAUUCUUCAUCUACGCCUUUCUUAGGAAGUAUAGAACCUGCUUUUUUAGCUUCCUCUGGAUCGAAGGCUGACUGGAAAUUGUAAACGUACAAAUAGUUAAGUGUGACAAAAAAGUAAAUGUAAGUGAAAUAAUUCAUCAAGCACUUAUUACGAACCUUGAAAUAGUCUAGUGCGUUUCUCAAAUCUGGAAAAUCGCCUGCAGGUUCAAGAAGUGUGCAACGCUUAAUAAGAUGGCUGUUGAAUUCUAGAAAGACAAGAUUCAACCUUUUAUGAAAAAUAUGAUGUAACUAGUUACAAUAAAAAAAUUCUUAUCUAAAUAUGAAA